This 401-nucleotide ribosomal RNA is filed under the name uncultured bacterium. RNAcentral's name for it is "bacterial SSU rRNA". It matches the Rfam family "Bacterial small subunit ribosomal RNA", at positions 490 to 890 of the family's 1533-position model. The record is from RNAcentral.
GCACCGGCUAACUCUGUGCCAGCAGCCGCGGUAAUACAGAGGGUGCGAGCGUUAAUCGGAUUUACUGGGCGUAAAGCGCGCGUAGGUGGUUAAUUAAGUCAAAUGUGAAAUCCCCGAGCUUAACUUGGGAAUUGCAUUCGAUACUGGUUAGCUAGAGUAUGGGAGAGGAUGGUAGAAUUCCAGGUGUAGCGGUGAAAUGCGUAGAGAUCUGGAGGAAUACCGAUGGCGAAGGCAGCCAUCUGGCCUAAUACUGACACUGAGGUGCGAAAGCAUGGGGAGCAAACAGGAUUAGAUACCCUGGUAGUCCAUGCCGUAAACGAUGUCUACUAGCCGUUGGGGGAUUUGAUCCUUUAGUGGCGCAGCUAACGCGAUAAGUAGACCGCCUGGGGAGUACGGUCGCA